This 253-nucleotide ribosomal RNA is filed under the name uncultured Sphaerobacter sp. RNAcentral's name for it is "partial 16S ribosomal RNA". It matches the Rfam family "Bacterial small subunit ribosomal RNA", at positions 524 to 776 of the family's 1533-position model. The record is from RNAcentral. Lineage: Bacteria; Pseudomonadati; Thermomicrobiota; Thermomicrobia; Sphaerobacterales; Sphaerobacteraceae.
UACGUAGGGUCCGAGCGUUGUCCGGAGUUACUGGGCGUAAAGCGCGCGCAGGCGGUUCUCCAAGCCUGGCGUGAAAGCCCCCGGCUCAACCGGGGAGGGUCGUCGGGGACUGGGGGACUUGAGAGUGGCAGGGGUCGGUGGAAUUCCCGGUGUAGUGGUGAAAUGCGUAGAGAUCGGGAGGAACACCUGUGGCGAAGGCGGCCGGCUGGGCCAACUCUGACGCUGAGGCGCGAAGGCGUGGGGAGCGAACGGG